This 110-nucleotide non-coding RNA is filed under the name Lysinibacillus odysseyi. Its description in RNAcentral is "SAM-I sequence". It matches the Rfam family "SAM riboswitch aptamer (S box leader)". From Rfam's summary of the family: The SAM riboswitch is found upstream of a number of genes which code for proteins involved in methionine or cysteine biosynthesis in Gram-positive bacteria. The SAM riboswitch acts at the level of transcription termination control. The record is from RNAcentral. Lineage: Bacteria; Bacillati; Bacillota; Bacilli; Caryophanales; Bacillaceae. RNAcentral also lists the same sequence under 1 other name.
CUCUUAUCAAGAGCGGCGGAGGGACUAGGCCCUGUGAUGCCCGGCAACCAGUAAUGACUUACAAAGGUGCUAAUUCCUACAGAUUCGAAUCGGGAUCUGAAAGAUAAGGG